AUCUUUCGCAAUGGGCGAAAGCCUGACGCAGCCAUGCCGCGUGGAUGAUGAAGGUNUUNNGAUUGNANAAUCCUUUCAGCGGGNNNNNUAAUGACGGUACCCGCAGAAGAAGCCCCGGCUAACUUCGUGCCAGCAGCCGCGGUAAUACGAAGGGGGCUAGCGUUGCUCGGAUUUACUGGGCGUAAAGGGCGCGUAGGCGGACAGUUAAGUCGGGGGUGAAAGCCCGGGGCUCAACCUCGGAAUUGCCUUCGAUACUGGCUGUCUUGAGUGUGAGAGAGGUGUGUGGAACUCCGAGUGUAGAGGUGAAAUUCGUAGAUAUUCGGAAGAACACCAGUGGCGAAGGCGACACACUGGCUCACUACUGACGCUGAGGCGCGAAAGCGUGGGGAGCAAACAGG
This 398-nucleotide ribosomal RNA is filed under the name uncultured bacterium. RNAcentral describes it as "partial 16S ribosomal RNA". It matches the Rfam family "Bacterial small subunit ribosomal RNA", at positions 361 to 776 of the family's 1533-position model. The record is from RNAcentral.